RNAcentral lists this ribosomal RNA (698 nucleotides) under uncultured Bacilli bacterium. Its description in RNAcentral is "bacterial SSU rRNA". It matches the Rfam family "Bacterial small subunit ribosomal RNA", at positions 71 to 756 of the family's 1533-position model. Lineage: Bacteria; Bacillati; Bacillota; Bacilli. The record is from RNAcentral.
GCUUGCUCCACCGAAAGAAAAGGAGUGGCGAACGGGUGAGUAACACGUGGGUAACCUGCCCAUCAGAAGGGGAUAACACUUGGAAACAGGUGCUAAUACCGUAUAACAAUCGAAACCGCAUGGUUUCGGUUUGAAAGGCGCUUUUGCGUCACUGAUGGAUGGACCCGCGGUGCAUUAGCUAGUUGGUGAGGUAACGGCUCACCAAGGCAACGAUGCAUAGCCGACCUGAGAGGGUGAUCGGCCACAUUGGGACUGAGACACGGCCCAAACUCCUACGGGAGGCAGCAGUAGGGAAUCUUCGGCAAUGGACGCAAGUCUGACCGAGCAACGCCGCGUGAGUGAAGAAGGUUUUCGGAUCGUAAAACUCUGUUGUUAGAGAAGAACAAGGAUGAGAGUAAAAUGUUCAUCCCUUGACGGUAUCUAACCAGAAAGCCACGGCUAACUACGUGCCAGCAGCCGCGGUAAUACGUAGGUGGCAAGCGUUGUCCGGAUUUAUUGGGCGUAAAGCGAGCGCAGGCGGUUUCUUAAGUCUGAUGUGAAAGCCCCCGGCUCAACCGGGGAGGGUCAUUGGAAACUGGGAAACUUGAGUGCAGAAGAGGAGAGUGGAAUUCCAUGUGUAGCGGUGAAAUGCGUAGAUAUAUGGAGGAACACCAGUGGCGAAGGCGGCUCUCUGGUCUGUAACUGACGCUGAGGCUCGA